CCUACGGGAGGCAGCAGUGGGGAAUUUUGGACAAUGGGCGCAAGCCUGAUCCAGCAAUGCCGCGUGAGUGAAGAAGGCCUUCGGGUUGUAAAGCUCUUUUGUCAGGGAAGAAACGGUGUGGGCUAAUAUCCCGCACUAAUGACGGUACCUGAAGAAUAAGCACCGGCUAACUACGUGCCAGCAGCCGCGGUAAUACGUAGGGUGCAAGCGUUAAUCGGAAUUACUGGGCGUAAAGCGUGCGCAGGCGGUUUUGUAAGUUUGUCGUGAAAUCCCCGGGCUCAACCUGGGAAUGGCGAUGAAGACUGCAAGGCUAGAAUCUGGCAGAGGGGGGUAGAAUUCCACGUGUAGCAGUGAAAUGCGUAGAGAUGUGGAGGAACACCGAUGGCGAAGGCAGCCCCCUGGGUCAAGAUUGACGCUCAUGCACGAAAGCGUGGGGAGCAAACAGGAUUAGAUACCCUGGUAGUCCACGCCCUAAACGAUGUCUACUAGUUGUCGGGUUUUAAUUAACUUGGUAACGCAGCUAACGCGUGAAGUAGACCGCCUGGGGAGUACGGUCGCAAGNUUAAAACUUAAAGGAAUUGACGGCUGAGAGNGCGAGACGACGACGAGGGAGAGG
This 616-nucleotide ribosomal RNA is filed under the name uncultured bacterium. Its description in RNAcentral is "bacterial SSU rRNA". It matches the Rfam family "Bacterial small subunit ribosomal RNA", at positions 338 to 947 of the family's 1533-position model. The record is from RNAcentral.